CGCGUAAAUUACCCAAUCCAGACAAUGGGAGGUGGUGACCAGAAGUACUGAGUGGUAGAUAAUUGUCUACUAAUCUCGGAAUGAGCAUAAAGUAAAAAGUUAGUCGAGUAACGACUGGAGGGCAAGUCUGGUGCCAGCAGCCGCGGUAAUUCCAGCUCCAGUAGCAUGUCGUAAAGUUGUUGCGUUUAAAACGCUCGUAGUUGGAUCAUACGGUAUUGGUCAGUUAGCCUACAAUGCUGACAAUCAAUCCUGCGACAGUAGCGAUUUCUAGUUAGUUCUGGAGAUCCUAUUGUUGUAGGAGUCAGUUAUUGUAGGUUACUUGCUGGCCGAUACUACUUGCACGUAAGAAUGGUGAUUGGCCUUUAGUGCGUCGGUCAUUGUGUCUUACGGAGUGUGCCUUGAAUAAAACAGAGUGCUUAAAGCAGGCGUGUGCCUGAAUGUUACAGCAUGGAACGAACAAACGUGUUACGUGUGUAGUCGGUGGCUUUGGUUGCCAGCUACACACAUCACCAGCCACCUGUACGGAUGUUGGUUUCCGUAAAGGGGUGAUGAUUAAAACGAGCGGUUGGGGGCAUUGGUAUUUGGCCGCGAGAGGUGAAAUUCUUAGACCGGCCAAGGACUAACAAAAGCGAAGGCAUUUGCCAAGACCGUCUCGAUUGAUCAAGAACGAUAGUGGGAGGUUCGAAGACGAUCAGAUACCGUCCUAGUUCCCACAGUAAACUAUGCCGACCCGGGAUCAGUUUUGAGCUAAUUACAACGCUCCAGGUUGGUCCCCCUGGGAAACCUUAAGUGUUUGGGUUACGGGGGGAGUAUGGUCGCAAGGCUGAAACUUAAAGGAAUUGACGGAAGGGCACCACCAGGGGUGGAGCCUGCGGCUUAAUUUGACUCAACACGGGAAAACUCACCGGUUCCGGACGUUAAUAGGAUAGACAGACUGAUAGAUCUUUCUUGAUAUGAUGUGUGG
Molecule: ribosomal RNA, 964 nt
Filed under: Henneguya fusiformis
Lineage: Eukaryota; Metazoa; Cnidaria; Myxozoa; Bivalvulida; Myxobolidae
Description: SSU rRNA
Rfam family: Eukaryotic small subunit ribosomal RNA
Source: RNAcentral